Non-coding RNA from Acanthosepion pharaonis, 90 nucleotides. Lineage: Eukaryota; Metazoa; Mollusca; Cephalopoda; Sepiida; Sepiidae. The record is from the annotation of a GenBank genome assembly.
ACACACUGCUUCCUGUAUGAUCACCGAAGUUAAGCAAAGUUGAGCCUGGUCAGUACCUAGAUGUGUAACCACUUGGGAAUACCAGAUGUU